UCUCAGAAAUAACGUCCCAGUUCGGAUUGUAGUCUGCAACCCGACUACAUGAAGCUGGAAUCGCUAGUAAUCGCGAAUCAGAAUGUCGCGGUGAAUACGUUCCCGGGUCUUGUACACACCGCCCGUCACACCAUGGGAGUCGGAAAUGCCCGAAGUCAGUGACCCAACCGUAAAGAGGGAGCUGCCGAAGGUGGAGCCGGUAACUGGGGUGAAGUCGUAACAAGGUACC
Molecule: ribosomal RNA, 229 nt
Filed under: uncultured bacterium
Lineage: Bacteria
Description: partial 16S ribosomal RNA
Rfam family: Bacterial small subunit ribosomal RNA
Source: RNAcentral